AGACCCGAAACCCGGUGAUCUAGCCAUGGGCAGGUUGAAGGUUGGGUAACACUAACUGGAGGACCGAACCGACUAAUGUUGAAAAAUUAGCGGAUGACCUGUGGCUGGGGGUGAAAGGCCAAUCAAACCGGGAGAUAGCUGGUUCUCCCCGAAAGCUAUUUAGGUAGCGCCUCGUGAAUUCAUCUCCGGGGGUAGAGCACUGUUUCGGCUAGGGGGCCAUCCCGGCUUACCAACCCGAUGCAAACUGCGAAUACCGGAGAAUGUUAUCACGGGAGACACACGGCGGGUGCUAACGUCCGUCGUGAAGAGGGAAACAACCCAGACCGCCAGCUAAGGUCCCAAAGUCAUGGUUAAGUGGGAAACGAUGUGGGAAGGCCCAGACAGCCAGGAUGUUGGCUUAGAAGCAGCCAUCAUUUAAAGAAAGCGUAAUAGCUCACUGGUCGAGUCGGCCUGCGCGGAAGAUGUAACGGGGCUAAACCAUGCACCGAAGCUGCGGCAGCGAACGUAUCACCCAAGACAACUUUACGGAGUUGACGAUUGACGGAGCGAAGCGACGUCAAAGCGUUCAUUAAAGUCGAGUUGGCUUAGGGAUACGUUCGUUGGGUAGGGGAGCGUUCUGUAAGCCUGUGAAGGUGUGUCGUGAGGCAUGCUGGAGGUAUCAGAAGU
RNAcentral lists this ribosomal RNA (666 nucleotides) under Salmonella enterica. RNAcentral's name for it is "partial 23S ribosomal RNA". It matches the Rfam family "Bacterial large subunit ribosomal RNA", at positions 711 to 1289 of the family's 2925-position model. RNAcentral also lists the same sequence under 1 other name. The record is from RNAcentral. Lineage: Bacteria; Pseudomonadati; Pseudomonadota; Gammaproteobacteria; Enterobacterales; Enterobacteriaceae.